Molecule: ribosomal RNA, 381 nt
Filed under: uncultured bacterium
Lineage: Bacteria
Description: bacterial SSU rRNA
Rfam family: Bacterial small subunit ribosomal RNA
Source: RNAcentral
UGGCCUAACACAUGCAAGUCGAGCGAGGUAGCGAUACCUAGCGGAGGACGGGUGAGUAACGCGUGGGAACGUACCCUUUGGUUCGGAAUAGCCCUGGGAAACUGGGAGUAAUACCGGAUACGGUCGAGAGAUGAAAGAUUUAUCGCCGAAGGAUCGGCCCGCGUUGGAUUAGGUAGUUGGUGGGGUAAUGGCCUACCAAGCCGACGAUCCAUAGCUGGUUUGAGAGGAUGAUCAGCCACACUGGGAGUGAGACACGGCCCAGACUCCUACGGGAGGCAGCAGUGGGGAAUCUUAGAGAAUGGGCGCAAGCCUGAUCUAGCCAUGCUGCGUAUACAAGAGAGGCCUUAGGGUUGUAAAGCUCUUCAGGGGGGAAGAUAAUGA